Non-coding RNA from Danionella cerebrum, 70 nucleotides. The record is from the annotation of a GenBank genome assembly. NCBI's taxonomy places the organism in Eukaryota, Metazoa, Chordata, Actinopteri, Cypriniformes, Danionidae.
CUGAUUGUGGCCUAGUGGAUAAGGUGAAUGACUGGAGAUCAGAAGGUUGUUGGUUCGAACACCUAUAAUA